RNAcentral lists this ribosomal RNA (371 nucleotides) under uncultured organism. Its description in RNAcentral is "bacterial SSU rRNA". It matches the Rfam family "Bacterial small subunit ribosomal RNA", at positions 526 to 896 of the family's 1533-position model. The record is from RNAcentral.
CGAACCGAGCGAACGUUGUUCGGAAUCACUGGGCUUAAAGGGCGCGUAGGCGGGUGCUCAAGUCUGUGGUGAAAUCCUCCGGCUCAACCGGAGAACUGCCAUGGAUACUGGGUGCCUCGAGGGUGAUAGGGGUAUGCGGAACUAUCGGUGGAGCGGUGAAAUGCGUUGAUAUCGAUAGGAACUCCGGUGGCGAAGGCGGCAUACUGGAUCACAUCUGACGCUGAGGCGCGAAAGCCAGGGGAGCGAACGGGAUUAGAUACCCCGGUAGUCCUGGCCCUAAACGAUGGGUACUAGCUAGUAGGGUUCACAUGGCUUUACUGGCGAAGCAAAAGUGCUAAGUACCCCGCCUGGGGAGUAUGGUCGCAAGGCUG